AACGAACGCUGGCGGCAGGCUUAACACAUGCAAGUCGAGCGCCCCGACAGGGGAGGGUCGGUCGGGCGGGUAACGCGUGGCGGAGUGGCGAUUGGUUCGGCAGAACCUACGGAAACUGGGGGUAAUACCGGAUAAGACUUAAGGGGGUAAGAUUUAUGGCCUAAAGUUGGGACCAAGGUGGAUUCGGUCGUUGGGGAGGUAACGGCGCCCCAAGGGGACGAUCUGUAGCUGGUGUGAGAGGCUGACCAACCACACUGGGAGUAGGACACCGGCGAGACUCCUGCGGGAGGCAGCAGUGGGUAAUACAGGACAAUGGGCGCAAUCCUGAACCACCCAUGCCGCGUGAGUGAUGAAGGCCUUAGGGUUGUAAAGCUCGUUUGUCCGGCAAGAUAAUGACGGUACCGGAAGAAUAAGCCCCGGCUAACUUCGUG
Molecule: ribosomal RNA, 431 nt
Filed under: uncultured bacterium
Lineage: Bacteria
Description: partial 16S ribosomal RNA
Rfam family: Bacterial small subunit ribosomal RNA
Source: RNAcentral